CGCCAUUGUGGGUGUCGGUCAUUGGGAGCAAAUACAGAAUUGACCCGGAAUUUUUUAGGCGACACAUGGAUUUUCUUUCUGUAGGCAUUAUUAGGCAUUCGUGCAGUCUCCCAUCGCUUGCCAGCACGUCCAACAAUAUAUUUCGGCUUUGUGUAAGCACCCUCCUUCAUCGAGACGAUUUCGGCGGGCAGGACCUCCAGUCACAGCGGUCAGAUCAAUCUAGCGAGCUCAAAAUAUACAAACGACUACAGCUGGUGCGCGGGUACUCCACUGUUUGCUCGUGCUUUUCUGUAGUCGAACAAUGGAUCUCAUUUUGUGUCACAAGAACAGAUCAGGGCUGGGCUGUGGAAAAAUCGCCUCCGGGGCCAUGGAUAAGCCGCAUCGAAUCCAUGGCUACGCCAGUGCCAGUGCUCCAACAUCAUCCCAAGAUGGCUUUUAGAACUACCACGAAUCGCUU
This 457-nucleotide small RNA is filed under the name Histoplasma capsulatum var. duboisii H88. Its description in RNAcentral is "Histoplasma capsulatum H88 hypothetical RNA". Lineage: Eukaryota; Fungi; Ascomycota; Eurotiomycetes; Onygenales; Ajellomycetaceae. The record is from RNAcentral.